Molecule: non-coding RNA, 600 nt
Organism: Mauremys reevesii (Reeves's turtle)
Lineage: Eukaryota; Metazoa; Chordata; Testudines; Geoemydidae
Source: the annotation of a RefSeq genome assembly
AGGGGCCGUUCUCCAGCACUGGGGGUUUAAGAGAGAAUCGGAGGGUCCCGGCCACAGACCCGUUUGCCUCAGGAAGCCGAGCUCGUCUGGAUUCCCACCAUGGCCUGGGCCCCUCUGCUCCUCACGCUGCUCACUUACUGCUCAGGGGCCAGCUCGCAGCCCACGCUGACCCAGCCGCCUUCCGACUCAGUGUCCCUGGGAAACACCGUGAAACUCUCCUGCACUCUGAGCAGUCAGCACAGCGGCUAUACUGUUGGAUGGUACCAACAAAGGGAUGGCCAGGCCCCUCGGUUCCUUUGGUCCGGCUCCAGCACCAAAGGAGACGGGGUCCCAGAUCGAUUCACAGUUUCCAGCUCCGGAGCCAUUCGCUAUUUAACCAUCACCAACAUCCAGCCAGAGGAUGAGGCCACUUAUUACUGUGGUGCAGAUUAUAGCAUUGGUAGCAGCUAUGGGUAACUCACCAUGACACAAUCAGAUGGGGAACUGAGACAAAAACCUCCCCUCCCCCAGGCUGUGCACAACUGGGUCCCACACUCUAUGAAGAGCUUUGCCUUUUACUUUCAACAAAUCAGCUGAUUACUGGGCGCUGAGAAUUCCAGC